UACGGGGGGGGCAAGCGUUGUUCGGAAUUACUGGGCGUAAAGAGCUCGUAGGCGGCUCGGUAAGUCAGGUGUGAAACCUCCAGGCUCAACCUGGAGACGCCACCUGAUACUGCUGUGGCUAGAGUCCGGUAGGGGAGCGUGGAAUUCCUGGUGUAGCGGUGAAAUGCGCAGAUAUCAGGAGGAACACCAGCGGCGAAGGCGGCGCUCUGGGCCGGAACUGACGCUGAGGAGCGAAAGCGUGGGUAGCAAACAGG
RNAcentral lists this ribosomal RNA (254 nucleotides) under uncultured bacterium. RNAcentral describes it as "partial 16S ribosomal RNA". It matches the Rfam family "Bacterial small subunit ribosomal RNA", at positions 524 to 776 of the family's 1533-position model. The record is from RNAcentral.